Mus musculus (house mouse) is the source of this 363-nucleotide long non-coding RNA. RefSeq annotates it as predicted gene, 36004. The record is from RefSeq and is a predicted model, not a curated record. NCBI's taxonomy places the organism in Eukaryota, Metazoa, Chordata, Mammalia, Rodentia, Muridae. The transcript is spliced from 3 exons.
CAGUUCCAGAAGGACCUGGGGAUGCAGCUUGCACCCUUGCAUGUUAGACGUAAACAGGACCAGGGAGAAUGAGUGAAAGGCCGAGCGGAUUCAGGGAGCUGGUUAUUCCCCAAGCCUGUGUCAACCUGUGGAGAAAGCCACCUCAAUCCACCAGCCAGCAUCUUAGUCUAGUACAGAUGGACUCCUGUGCAGAGCUACAGAGUUGCUGCUUUUUGCCUUACCAGGUGGAUUGGCACUGAGCAGCCCAGCCUGUGAGCAAGCUAUCUGGGACCUACUAUGAGCACCUGUGGUACCCUGUGAAUCCCCAUGAACCUUUGUGAGCCCCCACAAGCUUCAAUGAGCCCCACAAACUACAAGUUCUUU